This 539-nucleotide ribosomal RNA is filed under the name uncultured bacterium. RNAcentral describes it as "bacterial SSU rRNA". It matches the Rfam family "Bacterial small subunit ribosomal RNA", at positions 791 to 1329 of the family's 1533-position model. The record is from RNAcentral.
UAGUCCACGCCGUAAACGAUGGGUACUAGGUGUUGUGGGUAUUGACCCCCGCAGUGCCGAAGCUAACGCAUUAAGUACCCCGCCUGGGAAGUACGGCCGCAAGGCUAAAACUCAAAGGAAUUGACGGGGGCCCGCACAAGCGGUGGAGCAUGUGGUUUAAUUCGAUGCAACGCGAAAAACCUUACCUAAGUUUGAACUCUCCGGACAACCCCAGAGAUGGGGCUUUCCCUUCGGGGACUGGAAGUAGAGGUGCUGCAUGGCUGUCGUCAGCUCGUAUCGUGAGAUGUCGGGUUAAGUCCCUUAACGAGCGCAACCCUUGUCCUUAGUUGCCAGCAUUUAGUUGGGCACUCUAAGGAGACUGCCGGUGUUAAACCGGAGGAAGGUGGGGAUGACGUCAAGUCCUCAUGGCCCUUACGCUUAGGGCUACACACGUGCUACAAUGGUCGGUACAGAGGGAUGCCAACCCGCAAGGGGGAGCUAAUCUCAGAAAGCCGGUCUCAGUUCGGAUUGGAGUCUGCAACUCGACUCCAUGAAGUUGG